UACAGAGGGUGCGAGCGUUAAUCGGAAUUACUGGGCGUAAAGCGUGCGUAGACGGUUAUUUAAGUCGGGUGUGAAAGCCCCGGGCUCAACCUGGGAACCGCGCUUGAGACUGGAGAACUAGAGUUCGGGAGAGGAUGGUGGAAUUCCCAGUGUAGAGGUGAAAUUCGUAGAUAUUGGGAAGAACACCGAUGGCGAAGGCAGCCAUCUGGACCGACACUGACGCUGAGGCGCGAAAGCGUGGGGAGCAAACAGG
RNAcentral lists this ribosomal RNA (253 nucleotides) under uncultured bacterium. Its description in RNAcentral is "partial 16S ribosomal RNA". It matches the Rfam family "Bacterial small subunit ribosomal RNA", at positions 524 to 776 of the family's 1533-position model. The record is from RNAcentral.